RNAcentral lists this ribosomal RNA (199 nucleotides) under uncultured Actinomycetales bacterium. RNAcentral describes it as "partial 16S ribosomal RNA". It matches the Rfam family "Bacterial small subunit ribosomal RNA", at positions 132 to 334 of the family's 1533-position model. The record is from RNAcentral. Lineage: Bacteria; Bacillati; Actinomycetota; Actinomycetes; Actinomycetales.
GCUACUUCGGGAUAAGCUUGGGAAACUGGGUCUAAUACCGGAUAGGAGCCAUCUUUAGUGUGGUGGUUGGAAAGUUUUUUCGGUGUAGGAUGAGCUCGCGGCCUAUCAGCUUGUUGGUGGGGUAAUGGCCUACCAAGGCGGCGACGGGUAGCCGGCCUGAGAGGGUGUACGGCCACAUUGGGACUGAGAUACGGCCCAG